Non-coding RNA from Poecilia reticulata (guppy), 320 nucleotides. The record is from RefSeq and is a predicted model, not a curated record. Lineage: Eukaryota; Metazoa; Chordata; Actinopteri; Cyprinodontiformes; Poeciliidae.
CCUCGCACAGAUCCCCCCGAGGCUCCUUCAGAUGUCAGCACAGGAACUACCGCUAACCGUAAAGUGGCUCGACACCCACACGGCUCUGAACACCACAUGAAGACGAAGAGGCACGCAGAGAAAGAGCGGGAGAAAACAUGAGGGGGAAGGAUUCGUUUCUCUGAGCCCUUUUCCUGGUCGGCUCCGUUGUUUUUUUUUUUUUGAGUGUGUUUUGUUCUGAAAACGUCACUUUUAGUAAUGGGGAUCUUCAAUGAGUCACACUUUACAGGUGUUAGGAAGCCUACUUUAAGAAGAUCUGAUUUACCAGAGGAAAAAGCGAG